Molecule: ribosomal RNA, 670 nt
Filed under: Ulosa stuposa
Lineage: Eukaryota; Metazoa; Porifera; Demospongiae; Bubarida; Dictyonellidae
Description: eukaryotic LSU rRNA
Rfam family: Eukaryotic large subunit ribosomal RNA
Source: RNAcentral
CGAGCUCAGACUGGCGCUGUCGAAGUGGACCUGGAAAGGCCCGUCAGAGAGGGUGAGAGCCCCGUGUGCGACACCGCCGGGCUGGGCCGAAGCUGUCUUCGGAGAGUCGGGUUGUUCGGGAAUGCAGCCCAAAGUGGGUGGUAAACUCCAUCUAAAGCUAAAUAUUGGCACGAGACCGAUAGCGAACAAGUACCGUGAGGGAAAGGUGAAAAGUACUUUGAAAAGAGAGUCAAAAAGACCGCGAAACCGUUAGGAGGGAAACGAAUGCAGCUGAAGUGGCUCCCCGUCAGGCUCAGGAUGCGUCGGUGGGUUCUGCUUCUCCGUUGGGAGCCGUGAGGCCCCUCGGAAGAGCGAGCCGCCGACAACUCUGCACUUCUGCGGGGAGCCGGCCAACAGCAGUUGUUCCUGGCUCAGAAGGACCCUCGGGAAGGUAGCCCCACGCCUGGCGCGGGGAACUUAUAGCCUUGGGCCUGGUCCAGUCUGGGAGCGACUGAGGAGAGAGUUGCGAUUCUUCGCACGAGCAGCGUGGGCCUUCGGGCUGGCUCGCUCUUGUCCGGUCGGCGGUCGGCGUCGUCACUGCGUGCAGUGGCUUCCGCAGACUCUGCAGUCCGAACUCGAUGCCGAGCACACCUCGCGCUGCGGUUGUUGGUGCCCAAAUGGCUGCAUCCGA